GUGUGAGUACGUCCAUGUAAGGGAGUGUGUGCUUGAGCAGGAGAGAGCAAGAGGGAGCGCAGAAAAGCUUUGAGAACUUGGCCACACACAGCACUUGUCCAGAGUCAGUUGUAGAAAAAGGGAAGGAGAGACAGAGAGACACACAGAGAGAGAGACACACAGAUAGAGAGAUAGAUAGAGAGAGAUAGAGAGAGAGAGAUAAUACGACAUUUGAAAUGUCUUUAUUAUUUUGGAACUUCUGUGAGUGUUGUUUAUUUCACUUGUGUUUAUUAUCUAUUUCACUGGCUUUGGCAAUGUAAACAUAUGUUUCCCAUGCCAAUAAAGCCCUUACAUUGAAUUGAAUUGAGAGAGAGAGAGACACAGGGCUGUGCUGCAACAACUCAGAGUGAGAGAAAGAGAGAGAGAGAGAGAGAGAGAGAGAGGGAGAGAGAGAGAGAGAGAGACUUUUCUCUCGACCUCUUUUCUCUCCGCAUCUUUCUCUCCCACGCUCCCGAGAAGAGGGCAGACUUUUCAGCUACCUGGGACCCUCCACUACUCCCCAGCUGCAGGGAGUUUAUAGAUGGAUUGUGAUGACCUCAUAGAGGAGGCGCUGUACUCUACAGAUGAGCCCUGUGAAGAUCUAAAACCACAUAGCAGCCCCAGCCUGAGCCUCAAUAUGGACAACGAGAUCACAGCCAAGGAGAGAGGAGUACUGGAGGAGAAUAACGAAAAGGAGAUGAUGGACAGAUAUCAGGAGGAGGAGGAGGUAGAGGAGGAGGAGGAGGAAGAGAAGGGUAGGAGGGAGCAGCUGGAGCCUCUGUCUGAGGAGCAGGAGCUGGAGGAGUUGAGGAGUCAGGUGCUGCAGCUCCUCCUGGAGUUAGAAGGGGCCAGGGAGAUAUCCAACAAACACCAGGAGGCUUUCCACGAGCUGCAGGGUCUAUUGGAGGAUGAGCGUUUGACCAGCGCUCAUCAGGCAGAAGCCUUCGCACGACAGGUCCACAACCUGCAAGCCCAGCUGCGUCCGGUACAGGAGGAGAUUGACUCUCUGGAGGAGGAGAAAGAGAGCAAACUGACCGAGGCCCACGAGGAGCUACGCCUGGCUCAGGAGCAGGUGCUACUGCUGCAGCAGGCGGCGGAGGAGUCGGCGGCUGAGAGGGAGAACGACAUCGCCUCCCUACAGGAGGAGCUUUGUCGCCAUCAGGCCGAGCUGGGGAGGCUCAACGAGGAGGCACAGGAGUACGAGCUAGAGAUCACCACGCUCCGUGCCGAGAUCAGCAUGAAGAGUCAGAGGAGAGAGGAGGAGAGGAGAGGAGGAGAUGUAGAAACACUGAAGCAGGAGUGUGUCACGUUGAGGGAGGAAUGUGAGACAUUGAAGAAUGACAACAGAUGUCUGACUGAGAGACUACAGCUACAGAGGACAUGUUCCAACAGCCACCUGUCCCUGAAGGAGGAUGGGGAGGACACCGGAAUCGGAGUGGGCACAGAGAUGGGGGGCAUGGCUGAGAGCUACAUGACCAUGACAGAGUGCCAGUCAACGGGUACAGCCACCAACUGCCGCCUGAAGGACGUGUCCAUUCAGAAGAACAUCUCGUUCGACGGGAAGCCCAUGACCCCCACCGGCUGGAAUGGAGGAUUCGGGGAGAUCGUCUCACUGAGGGACCAGCUGAAACAAGCUGAGGAGAAGGCCUCACUGGUACAGAGACAGUGUGACGGUUUGAAGACCGAGCUGAGGGAGCUACAGGUGCUGUAUGACUGCAGCCAGAGGGAGAGGGAGGGGAUGGAGGAGGAGCUACUGCGCUGCAAGGCAGAGUUGGAGAGGCUGGCUGGAGGGGGGCAGGAAUGAUUGUAAUAUUGGGAGUGGUUUGGUGCUGGUUGUCCGAGCUGGCGUCACAGAAAGCAAGGGGUGUGAUAUAGAACGGAACCCCUAUUCUGACUGUCACCGUGGCAACAGCUGUGCUUCUGAUCGUGGCUAGCUUGUUGAGAGGUCGAGCAGGUGCAGAUGUUGAGCAGGUCAGAUCAGUAACAAGUUAUACUGACAAAGAAGGUAAUGUCUGCUUAUAGACAACUACCCUCCAUCCCCACCCCGUUAUCACAUCAAUCUGGGACGAACAACAGAUCACACACCAUUCUUCUAAUUCAGAAAACAGGAGCAUCUUCAAAAGAAAAACUUCAGAAAACAGGAGUGCUCAUAGUUCUGAUGGAAAAGAUGGACUCCUUUUCUCUCCUGUUCUGGGGGACACAGGUCUUCAUGAAGCUGAGAAGAUAGUGUGGAUACUUACAUUUAAUUGGACAGUACCUUUCCGCAUAAAUCUUGCUGGUUCUGCCCCUCUGGCAUCUCAUUCUGUCCCUGUCUCUCUGUCUGUCUCACGGGUCUUGACUAUGGGACUGAAUUGGUCCUGAGUUUAAAUGUCUUAUACUACUCUUAUACAACUCUCAUCUUGUAUUUUACUAAAUGUAUUUAUUAAUAUGUUAAUUGAUUGGUCAUCUUUUAACAAGAACCUCCUCUGCGUCUUGCACAUCUGCUGAAUUAAAACUCUUAAAUAAAUAAAUGAGGUUAAAUAAAUAAAUAAAAAUCCAUAUGAUGUUGUAAAUAAGUCCUAGUAGAAUCUUUCUGAUAAAAUAUUAUUAUAUCUACACUUGUAAUUCAUUAUUUAAAGGAAUAUGUCAAAUACAUGAAAUAAUUUCAUGUCUGUGCCCGUGUCUUGUGAAUAGCUCAAACCAUGGGGAUUUUUCUCAAUUAGAAUGAAAUUAAUAAUGAAGACCUAGUAUAGUUCUAGUCUAGAGUGACAGAUGCUUUCCCCCCAAAAAAUGUUUAAAGGCAAUAGUUAAUUUAUAAAGCAUACGCUCUAAAAUAUUUUCUCAUCAAUUUACAUUUACUUAAAAAUGCAAUGAUUAUUCCAGAUGUCCUAUCUACAGUGAAUCUGUUAUUAGUGAGGAUGUUUAUUCUGCGUUUUCAGAGUUGUGUAAAUGCCUAUUUGUUAUGGUGUCCCCAUUAAAGGGGGAACUGUAUGGGAGAUAUGUGUGCUAGUCUAGCAGCUGUCCUAAUGCACCUGUCAAUCCUAGCCCGGUGUUUCAAGUCUAUGUUUAACCAACCAUCUCACCCACAUACGAGUGUCCUAGCUAUUUUUCUCCACAGUCACAGUCACUUCUUUUAUUUACUGAACUUAACUUAGUGCACCGUCAGACAGACUUGGGUUGAAAUACUAUUCUAAAAUAAUUUCAAAUACCUUAUCUGUGUUUGAUUGAGAAUCCUGAUUUAAUGGACCAAAAUAAUAGUCCCCAAAUGGCAAACCCCACCCAUCUGUCACUCCAGGCAGGCUAAAGAAAACGCUCAAAGCAUUUGAAAGAGUUGGACAUUGUAUUUUAACCCAGUAGAGCAUGCAUGGCUUCUGUCUGCGUUGUCAUACAGUGACUGUAUAAUUAGCCACCCGAAAUAUGUCAAGCACUAGUUAGCACGCCCCGCCUGUAUUUUCUUGUUCUUCCACAUCCCAGACUACAUGAGUCAGCUCACAUGCCAAGCACGGCCACACUGUUUCUGAUAUGGCUUUGAUGAGUUCACCAGUUCACAUGUGAAGUCUUUGGGCCAUAUUUGUUUUAAGAGUCUCAUAGUAGGAGUUCUGAUCUGGGAUCUGUUUGAACUUUGGGAUCAUAAUGAACAAGAUCACAUGGAUGGAGACGGGCUGAUCCUAGAUCAGCACUCCUAACCCAAGAUGCUUUAUGGAUAUGUUUCGUACAGUAACACAUUAACUGUAUAUUAUGGAUAUGUUUCGUACAGUAACAUAUUAACUGUAUAUGACCUCUGUGUCAUGUUUCGAUAGCGUGAUCUAUGUAUAUGAAUAUACUGUAGCAGCUAUUCAUACAACACAUAGGACAGCGAGUAUUUAACCUUGAGCUUGUGAAUGUCUCAAAAUACCUAAUGUACACACUAUUCAUAACUGAGUUGUUUCUGUACUUUUUAUCUACUAACACUUUCUUAAAUGUGGAGAGAAAGGAAUGUGUUUUUUAUAAGGGGAAUGGAUUUUCUUGGCUUGAGUUGGUCUUUCCACAUGUUCUGAAAUGUCAUUAAAAUAGAUUUUUUUUUCCUCCAGGUACACAGCUAGAGAAUGUUAACGAUCAGCAUUCCAUAGUUGAAUGAUGCUUGUGAACAUACCAGAGAUAGGAUAUUUAAUUUGUGCUGUGUCUGGUCGUACGUGAUGAUAUGCCUGUGUGUGGGGACAGAUGAUUGGUAGACCAUGAGGCAGCUAAACAAGUUUGAUUGCAUAAGGCAUUCUUGAAAUUGGAUUGUUAUGUAAAAAAUGUCAAUCGUUUUUUGGCAAAUUCUAAAUGUGUCUGGAUUGAACAGGCAGCAUUUUAAACGUUUUUAAAUGAUCUGUUAACAACUGUGAAAUUUUGUGACGCAGUAAAUGUCUAGCUACUUUAGAGUUAACAAGGCAUGCUACAUAUAGUCUUAGAGAAAAGUUUAAAAGUUCAUUUAUGUUUAAUAUAAGGUUUCUGUUUUACUUUAUAUUUGUUGUAGAUUCAGAAGUGCUAUAGACUAAUGUGGGAGAGAAAUAUUACUAAAAUCCACCAUUUGUAAUAGCUUUAUAGAAAGUCUAUUUUGAGAGAGCAGUGUAUAUUUCAUAGCCAAAUUAUGUAAAAGUGUAUUUAAUGUGAGUUUAAUAAGAGAACCAAUAUUGAUAAGUGUUUUCCAUACCUCUAUGUUUGGUUGAGUAGUCAGUGCAUGCAGGUAGAGGUUGUUUUUGGUGUUAGUUCCCAGUAUGAGCAUGCUAUAGUAAAAAAUAAACAACCGCCCAAAAUCAA
This is a non-coding RNA of Salmo salar (Atlantic salmon), 4779 nucleotides long. NCBI's taxonomy places the organism in Eukaryota, Metazoa, Chordata, Actinopteri, Salmoniformes, Salmonidae. The record is from RefSeq and is a predicted model, not a curated record.